CCUGCCAAUACAUUAACUGACAUUAAUUAAAAUAAAAAUAUGUUUAAGGCCACGGUUUUUUAUUUGUUGGUUUACGGAUUUUCCCCAUGAAAAAGUCUGGUCGGUCGGUCGGGAAAAAAAAAGAAAAAAAAUCAUCUUUGAAGACAAAAAAAUAUGCAAAAUCAAUAUAUAUUUCACCUUUCUAGCAAUAUGUUUGUUAUGCUAUUUUAUCAUCAUUUCUAAAAUUUUAGUUCGAUGAAAUAUUAUUGCUCAGCUGUUAUAAACUACGCAUGACAUUGUCUAGUAAUUUACAGUAAAAAAAAGGGGAUGCACGGACAAAGACGAAAUUAAAUCAUCAUUUCAGAAACAAGAAAAAUAGAUUCGCGUAGCUCUUAAUCAAUUCCAGAAAACUUGGUAAAUAAUGAUCUUCAAGCACGAAAACUGAUAAAAAAUGCAUAAACGUCGUACGAAAAUAAGUUUCAACACACGUGUCAACCAGGUGCUCCGCAGGGCGCAGCUUUAUACGACCGCAGAGGUCGAACCCUGAACAGUUGGGGCAAGUAUGGACAAAAAAUUCAAGCGUGAUACAGCUCUGAAUUUGGAUUGUGAUCAAAUUUUUGACAUUACAUGGUUUUUUUUUACACAAAACAAAUGUCAAGAUUUUACAAAUCAAUUAAAGAUUUCUUCUUCAAACUUUUUAAAUCCAAAAUUAAAUAGUUGACACAGCAUAGGUUUCUGACACAGAAUGAAUGUGGUCUAAUGAACUUUUUUUUUUUUGCCUUUGAGCAAUUCACUAUGCUGUUGAAUAUUAAUCCUCUCAAAAAAAUGUUUGAAGAAAUUUUCUUUUUAUUUAUGAAAUCUGAAAUGAGAAAAAUUUAAACCCCCCCCCCUUUUUUCACAUCCCUGUUUCCCUUUUU
RNAcentral lists this long non-coding RNA (896 nucleotides) under Mytilus galloprovincialis (Mediterranean mussel). The record is from RNAcentral. Lineage: Eukaryota; Metazoa; Mollusca; Bivalvia; Mytilida; Mytilidae.